Molecule: ribosomal RNA, 506 nt
Filed under: Phaeoclavulina guyanensis
Lineage: Eukaryota; Fungi; Basidiomycota; Agaricomycetes; Gomphales; Gomphaceae
Description: eukaryotic LSU rRNA
Rfam family: Eukaryotic large subunit ribosomal RNA
Source: RNAcentral
CCGGACCGUGUACAAGUCUCUUGGAACAGGACGUCAUAGAGGGUGAGAAUCCCGUCUUUGACACGGACUACCAGUGCUUUGUGAUGCGCUCUCGAAGAGUCGAGUUGUUUGGGAAUGCAGCUCAAAAUGGGUGGUAAAUUCCAUCUAAAGCUAAAUAUUGGCGAGAGACCGAUAGCGAACAAGUACCGUGAGGGAAAGAUGAAAAGCACUCUGGAAAGAGAGUUAAACAGUACGUGAAAUUGUUGAAAUGGAAACGAUUGAAGUCAGUCACGUCUCUCGGAAUUCAACCUCACUGUGUUGUGUGGUGUACUUUCUGGGUUUGACGGGCCAUCAUCAAUUUUGAUCGUCAGAGAAAGGUGGAUGGAAUGUGGCACCUCCGGGUGUGUUAUAGCCUUCCAUCGUAUGUGAUGGUCAGGAUUGAGGUUCGCAGCAUGCCUUCAUGGCCGGGGUUCGCCCACGUAACAUGCUUAGGAUGCUGGCGUAAUGGCUUCAAACGACCCGUCUUG